GAACGAUUGGCUCAGUUGGUAAGAGCGCUUGCAUGGAAAGCGAGAGGUCGCGGGUUCAAACCCCGCAUCGUUCG
Molecule: non-coding RNA, 74 nt
Organism: Leptidea sinapis
Lineage: Eukaryota; Metazoa; Arthropoda; Insecta; Lepidoptera; Pieridae
Source: the annotation of a RefSeq genome assembly